RNAcentral lists this ribosomal RNA (492 nucleotides) under uncultured bacterium. RNAcentral's name for it is "partial 16S ribosomal RNA". It matches the Rfam family "Bacterial small subunit ribosomal RNA", at positions 29 to 507 of the family's 1533-position model. The record is from RNAcentral.
AGUGAACGCUGGCGGUAGGCCUAACACAUGCAAGUCGAACGGCAGCACAGUAAGAGCUUGCUCUUACGGGUGGCGAGUGGCGGACGGGUGAGGAAUACAUCGGAAUCUACUUUUUCGUGGGGGAUAACGUAGGGAAACUUACGCUAAUACCGCAUACGACCUACGGGUGAAAGCAGUGGAUCUUCGGACCUUGCGCGAUUGAAUGAGCGGAUGUCGGAUUAGCUAGUUGGCGGGGUAAAGGCCCACCAAGGCGACGAUCCGUAGCUGGUCUGAGAGGAUGAUCAGCCACACUGGAGCUGAGACACGGUCCAGACUCCUACGGGAGGCAGCAGUGGGGAAUAUUGGACAAUGGGCGCAAGCCUGAUCCAGCCAUACCGCGUGGGUGAAGAAGGCCUUCGGGUUGUAAAGCCCUUUUGUUGGGAAAGAAAAGCAGCAGGUUAAUACCCCGCUGUUCUGACGGUACCCAAAGAAUAAGCACCGGCUAACUUCGUG